Molecule: ribosomal RNA, 843 nt
Filed under: uncultured archaeon
Lineage: Archaea
Description: bacterial SSU rRNA
Rfam family: Archaeal small subunit ribosomal RNA
Source: RNAcentral
UGCGAGUCAUUGUAGCAAUACAAGGCAGACGGCUCAGUAACGCGUAGUCAAUCUACCCUAUGGACGGGAAUAACCUCGGGAAACUGAGAAUAAUGCCCGACAGAACAUUAUACCUGGAACGGUUUAUGUUUCAAAUGAUUUAUCGCCGUAGGAUGGGACUGCGGCCUAUCAGUUUGUUGGUGAGGUAAUGGCCCACCAAGACUAUUACAGGUACGGGCUCUGAGAGGAGUAGCCCGGAGAUGGGUACUGAGACACGGACCCAGGCCCUAUGGGGCGCAGCAGGCGAGAAAACUUUGCAAUGUGCGAAAGCACGACAAGGUUAAUCCGAGUGGUUUCUGCUAAAGAAACCUUUUGCUAGUCCUAGAAACACUAGUGAAUAAGGGGUGGGCAAGUUCUGGUGUCAGCCGCCGCGGUAAAACCAGCACCUCAAGUGGUCAGGAUGAUUAUUGGGCCUAAAGCAUCCGUAGCUCGUUUCGUAAGUUUUCGGUUAAAUCCAUACGCUUAACGUAUGGGCUGCCGGGAAUACUGCAUAACUAGGAAGUGGGAGAGGUAGACGGUACUCGGUAGGAAGGGGUAAAAUCCUUUGAUCUAUUGAUGACCACCUGUGGCGAAGGCGGUCUACCAGAACACGUUCGACGGUGAGGGAUGAAAGCUGGGGGAGCGAACCGGAUUAGAUACCCGGGUAGUCCCAGCUGUAAACUAUGCAAACUCAGUGAUGCAUUGGCUUGUGGCCAAUGCAGUGCUGCAGGGAAGCCGUUAAGUUUGCCGCCUGGGAAGUACGUACGCAAGUAUGAAACUUAAAGGAAUUGGCGGGGGAGCACCACAAGGGGUGAAGCCUGCGGU